GAUGAACGCUGGCGGUGUGCCUAAUACAUGCAAGUCGAACGAAGUCUUCGGACUUAGUGGCGAACGGGUGAGUAACACGUUGGUACCUACCCUCUAGUGGGGAAUAACUGCCCGAAAGGGUGGCUAAUACCGCAUAAUACCGCAAGGUUAAAGCAGUAAUGCGCUAGAGGAGGGGCCUGCGUCUGAUUAGCUAGUUGGUGAGGUAAUAGCUCACCAAGGCUACGAUCAGUAGCNGGAUCGAGAGGUUGACCAGCCACACUGGGACUGAGAUACGGCCCAGACUCCUACGGGAGGCAGCAGUAAGGAAUCUUCCACAAUGGACGAAAGUCUGAUGGAGCAACACCGCGUGCAGGAUGACGGUCUUCGGAUUGUAAACUGCUUUUAUAUAGGAAGAUUAUGACGGUACUAUAUGAAUAAGGACCGGCUAACUACGUGCCAGCCGCCGCCGU
Molecule: ribosomal RNA, 449 nt
Filed under: uncultured bacterium
Lineage: Bacteria
Description: bacterial SSU rRNA
Rfam family: Bacterial small subunit ribosomal RNA
Source: RNAcentral